UUUCCGUGGGAGAGUUAGCCUUUGGUUACGCCUAUUUGUGGUAAGUUAACCAUCCCAU
RNAcentral lists this microRNA precursor (58 nucleotides) under Retroperitoneal fibromatosis-associated herpesvirus. RNAcentral's name for it is "miRc-RF08". The record is from RNAcentral. Lineage: Duplodnaviria; Heunggongvirae; Peploviricota; Herviviricetes; Herpesvirales; Orthoherpesviridae.